RNAcentral lists this ribosomal RNA (490 nucleotides) under uncultured bacterium. RNAcentral's name for it is "bacterial SSU rRNA". It matches the Rfam family "Bacterial small subunit ribosomal RNA", at positions 336 to 818 of the family's 1533-position model. The record is from RNAcentral.
CUCCUACGGGAGGCAGCAGUCGAGGAUCAUUCGCAAUGGGGGAAACCCUGACGAUGCGACGCUGCGUGGAGGAUGAAGGCCUUCGGGUUGUAAACUCCUGUCAUGAGGGAAGAGGAGAGUGUCACUAACAUUGACGCGAUUUGACGGUACCUCAAGAGGAAGCCACGGCUAACUCUGUGCCAGCAGCCGCGGUAAUACAGAGGUGGCGAGCGUUGUUCGGAUUUACUGGGCGUAAAGGGCGCGUAGGCGGCGAUGUGUGUCGGGUGUGAAAUCCCAGGGCCCAACCCUGGAAGUGCGCCCGAAACUGCAUCGCUCGAGUGCGGGAGGGGAGAUCGGAAUGCAGGGUGUAGCGGUGAAAUGCGUUGAUAUCCUGCAGAACACCGGUGGCGAAGGCGGAUCUCUGGAACGCAACUGACGCUGAGGCGCGAAAGUCGGGGGAGCAAACAGGAUUAGAUACCCUGGUAGUCCCGACCUUAAACGGUGCACACUU